CCUAAGGUGAGGCUCCCCGUCCACCCCCACCACCAUCGAGAAACAGACCUUUCUCAAUGCCCAAUUGAUUUCCAGUACCUAGUUUAUUUAAUUCAAACCUUUUUCCUUAAUUAAUUUGAUUAGGGUGUCAUUAGGAAGUUAGGAUUCUCUUAAUCCAUGGCUUCUACGGCGAGAAAAGACGUCGAUCGGAUCAAAGGUCCAUGGAGUCCCGAAGAAGACGAGGCGUUGCGAAGACUGGUCCAAAACUAUGGCCCUAGAAACUGGUCUUUAAUAAGCAAAUCGAUUCCUGGUCGAUCUGGCAAGUCGUGCCGGUUGCGAUGGUGUAACCAGCUUUCCCCUGAGGUCGAACACAGGCC
Molecule: unclassified non-coding RNA, 356 nt
Filed under: Hevea brasiliensis (rubber tree)
Lineage: Eukaryota; Viridiplantae; Streptophyta; Magnoliopsida; Malpighiales; Euphorbiaceae
Source: RNAcentral